AUGGAACUGGGAACCACAGGCCAGGGACCUUCAGAGCUGGCCAGACUGGCUUCCCCCGUGCAGCUAAAAAAAAAAAAAAAAAAAAAAUGGUGGAAGGGACAAAGAGCCCUCCUGAAGGCCAGGCUUGAGAGAGAACAGCAUGAGGUAGAGAAGGCAUCGGCCAUCACUCGCCCUCGCUGCAACAGUCUGGACCGGGUCUCGAACGCCCAGCACCACAAGGUCACAGGUAAGAAGGGGCUGAACAGAGACCCUCCGAGAGCUCUGACGAAGCAGAGGUGGGUUGGGGCCAGAAAAACAGGGCUGGGAGGGGACACAGGCCGUCAGACAAGGGCUCCUCAGCACCACUCAGAAUUGCAGGAGAGCAGACAGAGGUCGAGGCGAAUGCUGGUACUGCUCUGAGAGGCUUGAGGGGACUUUCUGGGACCAGGACACCAAGAGGGGACUAACCAGAGGACAGGUUCCCUGCAGGUGCAGUGAGCAGCACUAGGUCAUUGUCAGUCUUGCUGUAGAGCUGGUGGUCUGUGUGCUCGCUGAGUCCUGGGUGCUGCCCUUGAGCCGUGUGAAGUACUCGUGGAGGCGGUCUACAGCUGGAGCCCCUAUCUAGUCUCCCUUCAGGAUGACUCAGAGGUAUGAGGCCAAGUCGAACUUUGUAGUUGGGGCCCAAGCCCCCCAGUCUCGAAGUCCCAGGUCUCUGUGGUGAUUUGGAGGACGUGGUGUCAUCAUGUAUCAGAUGUGGUAGAGACCAUCCCACCUGUCCUUGCUGUGUAAGAAGGAAGGGCUGAGGGAACCCGUCUGCCAGUCUGUCUACAACCUGGCUACCGAGACGUGGUCCUGUACCUGCAGCGUCACCUGGGAGCUGACCAGAAAUGCAGAGUCAGCCUCCACGCAGGUGUCCCCAGUCGGAAGCUGUAGUUUAACGAGAUCCCAUGUGAUUCUUGUGCACAUAACUGUUUGAGAGCCAUUGCUCUGCGGCACGUCAGCUCUCCACCCCCACACCAGAGAGCCUACCAACUUUUCCCCAGUGGAGAACAGUAAGGAAUAAUGAAGUAAUUCAUCUUACCCUGACCAGGAAGCUCUUUAAUUAAUUUUACUUCCAUGAAACACAUAAUUUGAAAGCAUCUCUCAAGUAAACAGAUUCCAUUUUCUGGUAACUGAUCACUCCAUUUAAAAAUUUUAAUCAAGGACAUACAUCAUUCCCUGUCAGAACUUCUGUUCAGCCUUAGGAUACCAGGGGUUCCUCCACUGACUUGCUGUAAUUCCAGCAAAAAGCAGAGAUAUGCUGUUUGGUUAGCCUGUGAGGCUUUGUAAGGUUAAUUGCAGUGUUUCCAUUUGAGCAUUUUCGAAUAUUGAAUUGAAACCAGAUGAGGAGCAUUUGACCGUCAGCCUGCCCUCGUGCAGUCAGGCUGAUGAGAACGGCUGAUGAGAUUAAAUGAAGCUGGGAGAGGCUAAAUUGCUCAUCUCCUGCUCAGCUCAGACUCAGAAAGGCUCUGAGAUACAGAAGAGAGUGGGGCUAUGGAGCCCAGCAAGAAUUAACUCCCACCCUUGACAGGGACAAGCAUGGCGUAUGUAACUUGGUACACACACAAUACACUCCUCAGUGAACUAAUACUUUGCAGCAGCGUUUUUUUAAGAGCUCAACAAAAAGAUUCUGAAAUUAAUCUGGAAAAGUAAAUGUGAAAAACAGUUCAAGAUACAGGCAAAUAAGGGAAGACAGUAAAAAUAACAGCAAGGAGAAAGGACUUGUCUACUGUUGUUAAAAUACAUUACAAAGCCAUGAUGACUUAAUACCCAGCAUUCAACAGAUGGAUCAAAUCACAAAAGUAUGGAAACAGAUACAUGGUUUAUCAAACUUGACUGUAUAACAAAGGUGAUAUGUUGUGCUGGUGAAGAUUAUUAAAAAUGAUUACUGCAACUUAAUGAACUUAAAGUGAAAAAAGGAAUUCCAGUGCUACAUCCUCCUUUAAAAUGAACACGCAGGAGGGCAGCAGCCCACAUAUGCGGGUCCCUGGGGGGCAGUGCUGCCCACUGCACCACAGGGUCGCCCCCACCGCAGCCCAGAGCCAGCCCUGAAACAUGGACAGAGGAAGAAGGCCCUGCCGAUCAGCAGUGGGGGCUGAAGAAAGGGGGCCAGAGCAGCCUCCACCAGCCAUAUGCAAACUGGAGCACGGGGCGCAAACCAGGCGGCAAAGGAAGCCUGUGGGCGGAGCAAGAAACCAGCAGGCAGAGGCUGGGGGCGGGGGGAGGCGGUCGCCGAAAGUCCAAAGCCUGCCCUGCCUCCUCCAAUAUGUGCACAUUUACUGACUUAGACAUUAUGUAUUAUACGUGCGGGCUUCCCCGCUCAGUUGGUGGAGAACCUGCCUGCAAUGCA
This 2368-nucleotide long non-coding RNA is filed under the name Capra hircus (goat). Its description in RNAcentral is "lncRNA (ENSCHIG00010032081.1)". Lineage: Eukaryota; Metazoa; Chordata; Mammalia; Artiodactyla; Bovidae. The record is from RNAcentral.